CAUGCAAGUCGAACGAACUCUGGUAUUGAUUGGUGCUUGCAUCAUGAUUUACAUUUGAGUGAGUGGCGAACUGGUGAGUAACACGUGGGAAACCUGCCCAGAAGCGGGGGAUAACACCUGGAAACAGAUGCUAAUACCGCAUAACAACUUGGACCGCAUGGUCCGAGCUUGAAAGAUGGCUUCGGCUAUCACUUUUGGAUGGUCCCGCGGCGUAUUAGCUAGAUGGUGGGGUAACGGCUCACCAUGGCAAUGAUACGUAGCCGACCUGAGAGGGUAAUCGGCCACAUUGGGACUGAGACACGGCCCAAACUCCUACGGGAGGCAGCAGUAGGGAAUCUUCCACAAUGGACGAAAGUCUGAUGGAGCAACGCCGCGUGAGUGAAGAAGGGUUUCGGCUCGUAAAACUCUGUUGUUAAAGAAGAACAUAUCUGAGAGUAACUGUUCAGGUAUUGACGGUAUUUAACCAGAAAGCCACGGCUAACUACGUGCCAGCAGCCGCGGUAAUACGUAGGUGGCAAGCGUUGUCCGGAUUUAUUGGGCGUAAAGCGAGCGCAGGCGGUUUUUUAAGUCUGAUGUGAAAGCCUUCGGCUCAACCGAAGAAGUGCAUCGGAAACUGGGAAACUUGAGUGCAGAAGAGGACAGUGGAACUCCAUGUGUAGCGGUGAAAUGCGUAGAUAUAUGGAAGAACACCAGUGGCGAAGGCGGCUGUCUGGUCUGUAACUGACGCUGAGGCUCGAAAGUAUGGGUAGCAAACAGGAUUAGAUACCCUGGUAGUCCAUACCGUAAACGAUGAAUGCUAAGUGUUGGAGGGUUUCCGCCCUUCAGUGCUGCAGCUAACGCAUUAAGCAUUCCGCCUGGGGAGUACGGCCGCAAGGCUGAAACUCAAAGGAAUUGACGGGGGCCCGCACAAGCGGUGGAGCAUGUGGUUUAAUUCGAAGCUACGCGAAGAACCUUACCAGGUCUUGACAUACUAUGCAAAUCUAAGAGAUUAGACGUUCCCUUCGGGGACAUGGAUACAGGUGGUGCAUGGUUGUCGUCAGCUCGUGUCGUGAGAUGUUGGGUUAAGUCCCGCAACGAGCGCAACCCUUAUUAUCAGUUGCCAGCAUUAAGUUGGGCACUCUGGUGAGACUGCCGGUGACAAACCGGAGGAAGGUGGGGAUGACGUCAAAUCAUCAUGCCCCUUAUGACCUGGGCUACACACGUGCUACAAUGGAUGGUACAACGAGUUGCGAACUCGCGAGAGUAAGCUAAUCUCUUAAAGCCAUUCUCAGUUCGGAUUGUAGGCUGCAACUCGCCUACAUGAAGUCGGAAUCGCUAGUAAUCGCGGAUCAGCAUGCCGCGGUGAAUACGUUCCCGGGCCUUGUACACACCGCCCGUCACACCAUGAGAGUUUGUAACACCCAAAGUCGGUGGGGUAACCUUUUAGGAACCAGCCGCCUAAGGUG
Molecule: ribosomal RNA, 1445 nt
Filed under: Lactiplantibacillus plantarum
Lineage: Bacteria; Bacillati; Bacillota; Bacilli; Lactobacillales; Lactobacillaceae
Description: Lactobacillus plantarum 16S ribosomal RNA
Rfam family: Bacterial small subunit ribosomal RNA
Source: RNAcentral